UACGUAGGGGCCGAGCGUUGUCCGGAGUUAUUGGGCGUAAAGCGCGCGCAGGCGGCCUCGCGCGCCCGACGUGAAAGCCCCCGGCUUAACCGGGGAGGGUCGUUGGGGACGGCGGGGCUUGAGGGCGGGAGAGGGCGGUGGAAUUCCCGGUGUAGAGGUGAAAUUCGUAGAUAUCGGGAGGAACACCAGUGGCGAAGGCGGCGAUCUGGGUAGAUACUGACGCUGAGGUGCGAAAGCGUGGGGAGCAAACAGG
This 253-nucleotide ribosomal RNA is filed under the name uncultured bacterium. RNAcentral describes it as "partial 16S ribosomal RNA". It matches the Rfam family "Bacterial small subunit ribosomal RNA", at positions 524 to 776 of the family's 1533-position model. The record is from RNAcentral.